Molecule: ribosomal RNA, 252 nt
Filed under: uncultured bacterium
Lineage: Bacteria
Description: partial 16S ribosomal RNA
Rfam family: Bacterial small subunit ribosomal RNA
Source: RNAcentral
ACAGAGGGCACAAGCGUUGUUCGGAAUUAUUGGGCGUAAAGCGGGUGUAGGCGGUUGGAUAAGUCGGAUGUGAAAUCCCUGGGCCCAACCCAGGAACUGCAUCCGAAACUAUUCAGCUAGAGUCUCGGAGAGGGUGGCGGAAUUCCCGGUGUAGAGGUGAAAUUCGUAGAGAUCGGGAGGAACACCAGUGGCGAAGGCGGCCACCUGGACGAUGACUGACGCUCAGACCCGAAAGCGUGGGGAGCAAACAGG